GCCGACUUAGCUUAGCUGGUAGAGCAGCCGAUUCGUAAUCGGCAGGUCAUCGGUUCGAUUCCGAUAGUCGGCU
This 73-nucleotide transfer RNA is filed under the name Candidatus Chlorohelix allophototropha. Its description in RNAcentral is "tRNA-Thr". It matches the Rfam family "tRNA". From Rfam's summary of the family: Transfer RNA (tRNA) molecules are approximately 80 nucleotides in length. Their secondary structure includes four short double-helical elements and three loops (D, anti-codon, and T loops). The record is from RNAcentral. Lineage: Bacteria; Bacillati; Chloroflexota; Chloroflexia; Candidatus Chloroheliales; Candidatus Chloroheliaceae. RNAcentral also lists the same sequence under 1 other name.